RNAcentral lists this ribosomal RNA (494 nucleotides) under uncultured bacterium. RNAcentral's name for it is "partial 16S ribosomal RNA". It matches the Rfam family "Bacterial small subunit ribosomal RNA", at positions 28 to 507 of the family's 1533-position model. The record is from RNAcentral.
GACGAACGCUGGCGGCGUGCUUAACACAUGCAAGUCGAACGGAAAGGCCUGCUUUCCCUUGUGGAUUGCGGGUGCUCGAGUGGCGAACGGGUGAGUAACACGUGAGUGAUCUGCCCCCAACUUGGGUAUAAGCCUGGGAAACUGGGUCUAAUUCCCGAUAGGACUGCAGGGUGGUGCCUGUGGUGGAAAACGAUUUUCUAGUGGUUGGGGAUGAGCUCGCGGCCUAUCAGCUUGUUGGUGGGGUAAUGGCCUACCAAGGCGGCGACGGGUAGCCGGCCUGAGAGGGUGGACGGCCACAUUGGGACUGAGAUACGGCCCAGACUCCUACGGGAGGCAGCAGGGGGGAAUAUUGCACGAUGGGCGGAAGCCUGAUGCAGCGACGCCGCGUGGGGGAUGACGGCCUUCGGGUUGUAAACUCCUUUCGACCGCGAGGAAGCCACCUGGUUGGAAGGGUGGUGACGGUAGUGGUAGAAGAAGCACCGGCUAACUACGUG